RNAcentral lists this ribosomal RNA (253 nucleotides) under uncultured bacterium. Its description in RNAcentral is "partial 16S ribosomal RNA". It matches the Rfam family "Bacterial small subunit ribosomal RNA", at positions 524 to 776 of the family's 1533-position model. The record is from RNAcentral.
UACGUAGGGGGCGAGCGUUGUUCGGAUUUACUGGGCGUAAAGGGCGCGCAGGCGGCUCAUUUUGUCAGGCGUGAAAGCCCCGGGCUUAACCUGGGAACUGCGUUUGUGACUGCAUGGCUUGAGUGCGGCAGAGGGGGAUGGAAUUCCGCGUGUAGCAGUGAAAUGCGUAGAUAUGCGGAGGAACACCGAUGGCGAAGGCAAUCCCCUGGGCCUGCACUGACGCUCAUGCACGAAAGCGUGGGGAGCAAACAGG